Carassius auratus (goldfish) is the source of this 404-nucleotide long non-coding RNA. RefSeq lists it as uncharacterized. Lineage: Eukaryota; Metazoa; Chordata; Actinopteri; Cypriniformes; Cyprinidae. The record is from RefSeq and is a predicted model, not a curated record. The transcript is spliced from 2 exons.
AGGAACACGCGACUCCCCGCUGCAGUCUCCCGCCACUACAGCAGCUUACGAAGAACUCGACCACUAGAGCGGCGCCAGACUGCAGGUGUAUAUAUUCAACACCACUUUUCCUCAUCCGGAGUGACACAGACGCUGGGUAAAUCUCUCAUCUGUCCUGGUUGUUGGGCCCCUCGCAAGCAGGAGUUCUGUGGCACCACGAGGGGUUUCAUAGGGUCUAGAGAGAGAGACGGAGGGCAUCUCACUCCCCUCACACCUUUAUGUGCAUUAGAACCUGUUUACGGUGUGUAGUGAAGUCCUCUGGAACAGCAUCUGGAAAAGAUGUUACACUUGCUUUGUGAGUGUGCUGUUUUUAGUGUUGUAAUGCUGAGGGGUUUUUUUUGUCAAUAAACAACUUUUAAUCAGAA